GACGAACGCUGGCGGCGUGCUUAACACAUGCCAGUCGAACGGAAAGGCCCGGCUUUUGUGGGGUGCUCGAGUGGCGAACGGGUGAGUAACACGUGAGUAACCUGCCCUUGACUUUGGGAUAACUUCAGGAAACUGGGGCUAAUACCGGAUAGGAGCUCCUGCUGCAUGGUGGGGGUUGGAAAGUUUCGGCGGUUGGGGAUGGACUCGCGGCUUAUGAGCUUGUUGGUGGGGUAGUGGCUUACCAAGGCUUUGACGGGUAGCCGGCCUGAGAGGGUGACCGGGCACAUUGGUACUGAGGUACGGCCCAGACUCCUACCGGAGGCAGCAGUGGGGAAUAUUGCACAAUGGGCCGGAGUCUUAUGCGGCAACGCCGCGUUCGGGAUGACCUCCUUUCGGUUGUAAACCGCUUUCGCCUGUGACGAAGCGUGAGUGACGGUAAUGGGUAAAGAAGCACCGGCUAACUACGUG
This 468-nucleotide ribosomal RNA is filed under the name uncultured bacterium. Its description in RNAcentral is "partial 16S ribosomal RNA". It matches the Rfam family "Bacterial small subunit ribosomal RNA", at positions 28 to 507 of the family's 1533-position model. The record is from RNAcentral.